RNAcentral lists this unclassified non-coding RNA (639 nucleotides) under Exophiala phaeomuriformis. RNAcentral's name for it is "sequence contains 18S rRNA gene, ITS1, 5.8S rRNA gene, ITS2, 28S rRNA gene". The stretch from base 242 to 396 matches the Rfam family "5.8S ribosomal RNA". Lineage: Eukaryota; Fungi; Ascomycota; Eurotiomycetes; Chaetothyriales; Herpotrichiellaceae. The record is from RNAcentral.
UCGUAACAAGGUUUCCGUAGGUGAACCUGCGGAAGGAUCAUUAAAGAGUUAGGGUCUUCUCAGGCCCGACCUCCCAACCCUUUGUCUAUUGAACCCUUGUUGCUUCGGCGGGCCCGUCGUUAUACGGCCGCCGGAGGACCGACUCCAGGUCCUCUGGCCCGCGCCCGCCGGUAGCCAAAAUCACCAAACUCUUGAAUAAUCGUGUCUAUGAUGUCUGAGUACUUUUAUUAAAAUUAAGCAAAACUUUCAACAACGGAUCUCUUGGUUCUGGCAUCGAUGAAGAACGCAGCGAAAUGCGAUAAGUAAUGCGAAUUGCAGAAUUCCAGUGAGUCAUCGAAUCUUUGAACGCACAUUGCGCCCUUUGGUAUUCCGAAGGGCAUGCCUGUUCGAGCGUCAUUAUCACCCCUCAAGCCCUCCGGCUUGGUGUUGGACGGUCUGGUCGAGCUGCUCGACCCCUCCCAAAGACAAUGACGGCGGCCUGGUUGGACCCCCGGUACAUGGAGCUUCUUGAUUGAGCACGUAUCGGUUUCAAGGCGUCCCCGGGACCCGGUCUCACUCUCUCCCCUCGCGGGAGGGAACCCCCCUUUUUUCUAAGGUUGACCUCGGAUCAGGUAGGAAUACCCGCUGAACUUAAGCAUA